Cynara cardunculus var. scolymus (artichoke) is the source of this 325-nucleotide long non-coding RNA. RefSeq lists it as uncharacterized. The record is from RefSeq and is a predicted model, not a curated record. Lineage: Eukaryota; Viridiplantae; Streptophyta; Magnoliopsida; Asterales; Asteraceae. The transcript is spliced from 2 exons.
ACGCACAAUUUCACAAGAUGAAGUCCACUCGUCUCUCUUUCUUCUUGGUUGUCUUGUUUGCACUUAUCCUCGUGUCGUCUGCAGGAAGAGCACCACAUGCCACCUUCGGGAUCCAAAACAAUAAACCGAAAGGAGACGCUGUUGUUAAAACAGAGAAAGUAGUUCAACCAAACGUUGAAGGUGGUUGUUGGCCUUGUUGGCCGCCGACACGUGGUCGUCGACUUCUACAGACUAAACUUUAUGGUCGAGUCAGUCGAUAUAUGUAGCUACGAGCAAAUGUACUCCAAAUAAUAUGAAUAAAUGACGGAAUAAUUUCUUGUUUUAU